GCAUAAACCAACGAGUGAUAAAGAGCGGUGCAUAAACUUGUGCCUACAAACUGGAAAGAACUGCUACAAAGUUGUGAAGAAGGGUGGGACAAAAUUCCUC
Molecule: long non-coding RNA, 100 nt
Organism: Melanotaenia boesemani (Boeseman's rainbowfish)
Lineage: Eukaryota; Metazoa; Chordata; Actinopteri; Atheriniformes; Melanotaeniidae
Exons: 4
Source: RefSeq, a predicted model, not a curated record